AGUUUGGAGCUCUCCCUGCUGAAGCCACGGAGCAAAACCCUGUAGCUUCAGCUCUCUGAUAGAUGCUACACCACACAAGUGGGAUCAGCAGAAAGCAGCCCUCCUUCCCACCUCUCAGCUCCUUUGAAAUGUCUGGAUGAACCCCCAAGAAUUAGAGACCCCAAAAUCACUUCUGAAAACUCAUCCAGCCUUAAACCCUGGUAGGAGCAAACAGAAGAUAGUUUCAAAUGUGGGGGGGAAAUGCAACAUCCAGUU
This is a long non-coding RNA of Zonotrichia leucophrys gambelii, 255 nucleotides long. RefSeq lists it as uncharacterized. NCBI's taxonomy places the organism in Eukaryota, Metazoa, Chordata, Aves, Passeriformes, Passerellidae. The record is from RefSeq and is a predicted model, not a curated record. The transcript is spliced from 3 exons.